RNAcentral lists this ribosomal RNA (414 nucleotides) under Triticum aestivum (bread wheat). RNAcentral describes it as "partial small subunit ribosomal RNA". The record is from RNAcentral. Lineage: Eukaryota; Viridiplantae; Streptophyta; Magnoliopsida; Poales; Poaceae.
AUGAGCACGGCUUCGUGCUCCUCGCCUCCCGCGCCCCGCUUGCUUCGCCUACUGCUGCUACUAACCACUGCCGGCCACCCUCCCUUCCUCCCGCGGUCGCGCCACCGCGUCCGCCCGCGUCGCCGCGCCUCCCUGUUCGCCCUGCAGCUGCGUGCUGCUGGUGGCACCGUAGCCACCCUGCGCCGCCCACUCGCCACCGCACCGGCCCCCGCUGCCUCCCCGUCGGCCAGCCGCUGCCCCGCGACGCCACUCCGUCCGAAGCCCACGCCCCCGCCGGUGCUUCCCGCUGCGACGGCCGCCCCCGCUCCGUUCCCCUGGCCUUGCCUGCCUAGCGCCGCGCAGCCGUCGCCCCGCGGCUGCCGCUGCGCACCAGCGCACUCCGGCGCCCGUGCCCCUCGUCGUGGCUGCGGCUAG